AGAAUCUAAAUACUUUUCAAUUGGACAACAACAACGAGAACAACUAUGAGGCCAAACUAUGCACUUAAUUUUCCAGAGAAACUGAACACAGCUGAGGCCACCUUUUUCAGCAGGUUUAGAUGCUUAGGCUACUGAUCGCGCAUAGACAGUUCAGCCUAUCAGCUGCAGUAGUCGUGAAGCGUACAAGUGAUGAGAAGGAAAGAUGGUUAUUUGAGCUGAAAAAGAUCAAAAAGGAGAAAAAGGAGAAGAGAAGUGCAACUGGAAGACUUGAAAUAGAAAAUCUGCCUCAGUUACCGCGAUCGUGGUCUGAGGUAUGCUAUCGUGUCCGGUUUAGCUAGUUCAAAGGGAUGAGACUUCGGACAAGCUUUAGCGAUCGCGGCAAUGCAGGAAUGUACGUAGGGCCAAUUUUGUUAUUUUUCAUUGCCGGGCAUUAAAGGGCUCACACCCUUUCUCAUUAUAGAUUGUAGACUUUGGAGAACAAUUGAAUUUGAGUUUACAAACCCAAAAUUGGGCAACAAGUGUAAUUUGAAUUUCUUUCUUUGAAUUUGGUGAAAAUAAAGGAUGGAUGUUUUGAAUGAAAUUUUGGUAUAUUUCUUCCUCUUUACUUCACGAGUAGCUAAAUUUAUUUGUCUUAGGAUUAUGUUGAACUAAGGUAAAAUUGUGUGUAGGUUGUGAUGUAUUUGUGUAGAGUUUAGUUUGUUGAUGAUGGGUUUCACUAAUGCUUGGUUUAGUCAGUUGGGAUUUGUGGGUGAAAACCUUAAAUGCCCAAAAUGGGUUUGUGGGUGAAAACCCUAAACUCUUGAAAGCUCACAUCAUCCUUCAAAAAGAGAUGUGGGUGAAAAUUUGAAACCCAUGGCAUCUUUAAAAGAGGGAUAUGGGGGACAAAGCAAUAGUGAAAAAUAGAAGAUGUAGUUUGCUAUCUUUUUGAUAUCUUAGAAAUAAGGGUGAAUAGGUUGUUGGCUAUGUCUUGGGCAUCUUCCUAGAAAUAAGGAUAGCUAAUUAAGGUAAUAAGUGGGUGAAAUUGACACACUUGGUAGUUACUCGAAAGAGUCAACAAGUGAUAUUCUUGAGCUUUUGUUGACAAACUAGCCACAAGAACUUUCGAGCUAGCCUACCGCAUUGUUAAUAACUAGGAUUUGCAUCAAAUUAUCAUAUUCCCAUGCAUAACUUUCCCAUAGGUGGACAUUAUGCCAAGAUCCUUCUCAUAUUGGAUCUAAAUUUCAAGUGUUGCCCUAAUUUGUUAUCUUUUCGAAAACAUUUAAAAUCCCCCAAAAUAUUUGUAACUUAGGUUUGAUUUGAAAAAACAACUUUUAUUUCCAACAUACUCGGUCACCAUUCACAUUGUUGCUAGUUGAUUCGACCCCAACUCUUGUUGCGUUUAUAAUGACAAUG
Capsicum annuum is the source of this 1392-nucleotide long non-coding RNA. RefSeq lists it as uncharacterized. Lineage: Eukaryota; Viridiplantae; Streptophyta; Magnoliopsida; Solanales; Solanaceae. The record is from RefSeq and is a predicted model, not a curated record. The transcript is spliced from 3 exons.